CAUGCAAAUCCCUGUCACUGCUAGAUAUGUGUCCCUGCCCAGCUCCCAUCUCAAACAGGAGUGGCCCCAAACGCUGUGCUCCGUGUGGCAGAGAGUAGAAGAGACACACAGAUCAGACUGAUGGAUGAAAUGGGCACCAACUAACUGGAUGAUUCCAGGAACUGCUACUAUCAACCUGGAUAGCCCAGCCAGCCACGGCACCUGGAAUUGUUCCCACUGAAAUACAGGCUGGAGUAAAGUGUUGUCAGCUGGAUGGCUGCUGCAGUUCCAGCCCUCAAAUCAGCACCCCAAAGAAAAGCAUCACUUCUGGAAGCUGGGCCAGAAGAUCGAAGAAGAAUGUUUCUUUGAUGCAUCUUAUUGACCAAAAUUGGGCCACAUGCCUGUUCCUGAGCCAUCACCAGGAAAGAAGUGGAAAAGCACAUUGCUCAGGGCCAGAGAGAGUGUCAGCUUUCCUCAAGGUAUCUGGACUGGUUAAGGAGCUCAGGUAUAUAAUUCUUCCUGCAGAAGGAUGUGGGCUGUGUUUGCAUGUGUAUGAGACCAGACUCUGCGGCUGCCCGUUUGUUUUGGUUGUCUUAAUGAUGAUCGUGGAUUGCUUCAGGACCGAUGGGUCUGCAGCCUCUGGACCCGUAAGAGAGAUGGCCCAAAUGAGCAAACGGGUUCAACUUAUGAUGGCACCUUACAGUUUUGAGGUCAAACUAGAUGUGACAUCUGUCACCUCUCUGUCACAAGAGCUUGACAUGUCUCUGCUUUUCCUCAUUGCUCAGGAUGCAUGCUUCCCGAGGCUGGACAUCUCAUCUUCCAUCACGAGGUGUCUAUGGAGCCCAGGAAAAGCCAGAGGAGCCUCAACAGCUGGAUGCUAUAAAUGCCUCAGUUUUGGCACUCAUCUUUCAAUCACUUCACUAAUCGUAUAUAGAAUAUUCAGGAAAAGGAUGUUUGCCAUGGAUGCAUCAUCUGCUUCCCAGCUCUGCAGUAUCUGA
This 977-nucleotide long non-coding RNA is filed under the name Suricata suricatta (meerkat). RNAcentral's name for it is "lncRNA (ENSSSUG00005000303.1)". The record is from RNAcentral. Lineage: Eukaryota; Metazoa; Chordata; Mammalia; Carnivora; Herpestidae.